CCAAUAGCGUAUAUUAAAGUUGUUGCAGUUAAAAAGCUCGUAGUUGAAUUUCGGGAUCAGUAGGUCGGUCAUGCCUCCGGUAUGUACUGGUCUCACUGGUUCCUCCUUCCUGAUGAACCGUAAUGCCAUUAAUUUGGUGUUGCGGGGAAACUGGACUGUUACUUUGAAAAAAUUAGAGUGUUUAAAGCAGGCUAACGCUUGAAUACAUUAGCAUGGAAUAAUGACAUAGGACGUUCGAUCCUAUUUUGUUGGUUUCUAGGAUUGACGUAAUGAUUAAUAGGGAUAGUUGGGGGCAUUAGUAUUCAAUUGUCAGAGGUGAAAUUCUUGGAUUUAUUGAAGACUAACUACUGCGAAAGCAUUUGCCAAGGAUGUUUUCAUUAAUCAAGAACGAAAGUUAGGGGAUCGAAGACGAUCAGAUACCGUCGUAGUCUUAACCAUAAACUAUGCCGACUAGGGAUCGGAUGAUGUUAAUUUUUUAAUGACUCAUUCGGCGCCUUACG
RNAcentral lists this ribosomal RNA (500 nucleotides) under uncultured Glomeromycotina. RNAcentral's name for it is "partial small subunit ribosomal RNA". It matches the Rfam family "Eukaryotic small subunit ribosomal RNA", at positions 591 to 1092 of the family's 1831-position model. The record is from RNAcentral. Lineage: Eukaryota; Fungi; Glomeromycota.